UACGUAGGUGGCGGGCGUUGUCCGGAUUUACUGGGCGUAAAGGGAGCGUAGGCGGACUUUUAAGUGAGAUGUGAAAUACUCGGGCUCAACUUGAGUGCUGCAUUUCAAACUGGAAGUCUAGAGUGCAGGAGAGGAGAAUGGAAUUCCUAGUGUAGCGGUGAAAUGCGUAGAGAUUAGGAAGAACACCAGUGGCGAAGGCGAUUCUCUGGACUGUAACUGACGCUGAGGCUCGAAAGCGUGGGGAGCAAACAGG
This 253-nucleotide ribosomal RNA is filed under the name uncultured bacterium. RNAcentral describes it as "partial 16S ribosomal RNA". It matches the Rfam family "Bacterial small subunit ribosomal RNA", at positions 524 to 776 of the family's 1533-position model. The record is from RNAcentral.